UCAAAAAGCAAAUAUUUUUUAGAAAGUAUUAAUACCAAGAACAUUACCUUUUAAAAUAGAAGCACUUUAGUUUGAUAGAGAAUAUUAUUCCCUUUUUAUGAUAACAGAUUUUAAGUAUCCAAAUAUCAGAUAAUUUUGAAGACAUUUACACACAGACACACAUACAUACACACAUACACCUUUGUGCACAAGACUUUUAAGGCGCACUUAUGUUUUAAAAAUGAAAAUUGGC
This is a long non-coding RNA of Perognathus longimembris pacificus (Pacific pocket mouse), 232 nucleotides long. RefSeq lists it as uncharacterized. Lineage: Eukaryota; Metazoa; Chordata; Mammalia; Rodentia; Heteromyidae. The transcript has 4 exons. The record is from RefSeq and is a predicted model, not a curated record.